Long non-coding RNA from Rattus rattus (black rat), 1143 nucleotides. RefSeq lists it as uncharacterized. The record is from RefSeq and is a predicted model, not a curated record. The transcript has 2 exons. Lineage: Eukaryota; Metazoa; Chordata; Mammalia; Rodentia; Muridae.
AAGCUAUUCUUGUCAAUAUUUUUGGUGGGAUCGUCAACUGUGCCAUCAUUGCCAAUGGAAUCACCAGAGCCUGCCGGGAGCUAGAGCUCAAGGUGCCACUGGUAGUCCGUCUUGAAGGAACUAAUGUCCAGGAGGCUCAGAAUAUCCUCAAAAGCAGCGGACUCCCCAUUACGUCAGCUGUGGACCUGGAGGAUGCAGCCAAGAAAGCUGUUGCCAGUGUGGCCAAGAAGUGAUGGCUCCCAUGAGGAAGGGCACAUCCCUCACCACUGUGAGAGCUAUUGUUUCCUCACUGGGAAGAGGGCACGCACAAGGAUCAUCACGUGAAAAAAUAUGAAGUCUGAGCUUUCUCCACUAUGCUGUCCAGAGUGCCUAACGCUGAUUUUAUACUGUAGUCAUUGUUUAAAAAAAAUCACUCCUGACAAUUUCACACCUUCUCUUGCCCAGUCAGUAGCAGGGUCUACCAGCUCUGGCCACAGUCAUUGUGGCCAAACAGUGUGCAUAGGUACAGGAUUUGAAGCCAGAUCUAGGUUCAUCCUUAAGAACUUUGGGGACAUUUUUUCUACAGUAGACAAUUUUAUAGGACUCACAAGUUCAGACAGGAUUAUAUUUAACAUAGUAACUUCCAGAAAGUUAUAGCGAAGACACCUGAGCUUCUGUGAACAGUGGUCCCCACUGUCUCCUAAUCCAGUGCAUUUAGAAAGCCCACGACCAUUCUAAAGUGUGGCUUAUAUUGGGCAUCCCACGUUAAUACAUGUACAUUGCACACACUUUACCCUUUGCCUUAAUGUUGAGUCUACUGUCUGCCUCACACUGAGUUACAGCCAGAAGCCUUAAUCACAGGUUUGAAGUGGAAGGUUUCAUUUUUUGUCAGAGUUGCUGAAUGUGAUUUUUAUCAAACUGUGCCAUUAAGCCAUUUCAUGAAGAGGAGGUCAAGCUGGUGGUGGUGGUCAGGAUUUCCCUCUUGUCCCUUCCACCUCACAUCUACCAGUUUGUCACAGAAAGAUGAGAUGUCAUCGGAGAGAAUGUGGCCUUCCUAAUGAUGUCCUUUUUUGUGACGGGAAUUUUCUUAAACUUGAUUUCUUUGUUUAAUUUUAAUAAAUUUAUAGUCAUAUUCAUUUUAAAUAAAAUUGUUUUUCAGUGCUA